CAAUCGGUCCUUUUCAGGACCACAAUAUUGCAAAUAAAAAAGAUAU
Non-coding RNA from Glossina brevipalpis, 46 nucleotides. NCBI's taxonomy places the organism in Eukaryota, Metazoa, Arthropoda, Insecta, Diptera, Glossinidae. The record is from Rfam.